Saccostrea echinata is the source of this 429-nucleotide long non-coding RNA. RefSeq lists it as uncharacterized. Lineage: Eukaryota; Metazoa; Mollusca; Bivalvia; Ostreida; Ostreidae. The transcript is spliced from 4 exons. The record is from RefSeq and is a predicted model, not a curated record.
UUAUUUUUAACUGUACUAAUCUUCAUCAUUUUCUCUCUGUGAGAGGGGCUCUCGGAGGGAUGGCCAACCAAAUGAGGAAGAGGAGACAAUUGGGAGAAUUAGGAUACAAUGCCAGUGGACCAACAUUGGAAAAAAUAGCAAGAAGAGAAGAACUCCAUCUCUCAUCAAGAAGAGUCCAGAAAGGGGAAACAACUACAGCCAAACAUGGUAGACAGGAAUUGAUGACAGCUGUACCCCACUACCCGUAGUACCCCUAGGUUAAGAAGAGUGCAUCACCUGCCAGCAAGAAUACCAAGAGAAGGAUAGACUUUGGCCAACCCAAAAGGUUACCAAAUGGAUGUAGAGGAGCAAGGCCAAUCAGAAGCACUAGACCACUCAACAGCUAGAGAGCCCGGCAAAGGUUAAUUUUACCAGACAUAAGGUGAGCUG